AUUGGUUCCUUUGGUCUUUUCUGAACAUCCAAUCCCAAGGACUUGAGGACACCAACAAAUUCAGUGUCCAACUCUUUCUUCAAUUCCAAAAUUUUACCCUUCAGGCUGUCAUCCAAAUCAUCAAGGUUGGACACCCCGGCAUUUUCAAUCUCUGCCCUAAGUGUAGCAGUUUUUUCCUUAACAUCUGGCCGUUCCAUGAUCUCGUUAAAUUUACUGUUAACUUCCUGCUUCAAUGUAGCAGCCCUGUUGUUCUUCUCCUCGUAUUUAUAUGCUUUUGAUAAUUCCUUCAGCAUGUCAAGUUUAUACUUCAAGUCUUCAUAAUUAGGAGCAGAUGACAGGCUCUGGGUAAAUUCAUGCCUAAGCUUUUGAAUCUUUUCUUUCAGAGCUGGAUGCAUGAGUUGGUCCUGUGAACUUACUUUCGAAAAUUCUUCCUGCAAU
RNAcentral lists this long non-coding RNA (438 nucleotides) under Fragaria vesca (wild strawberry). Its description in RNAcentral is "long non-coding RNA (FVES_LNC002852)". Lineage: Eukaryota; Viridiplantae; Streptophyta; Magnoliopsida; Rosales; Rosaceae. The record is from RNAcentral.